This 220-nucleotide long non-coding RNA is filed under the name Ricinus communis (castor bean). RNAcentral's name for it is "long non-coding RNA (RCOM_LNC001003)". Lineage: Eukaryota; Viridiplantae; Streptophyta; Magnoliopsida; Malpighiales; Euphorbiaceae. The record is from RNAcentral.
UUUGGAUGUGAAUCGGUACCAACACUCACCCUAUGCAUAUGUUUGUGUGCAUUAGGUCCAAAAGAAGUCAAAGAAUGAAAAAGGAAAGAAUUGGAGCAUAAUUGGACGUCAAAGCUGCCGAAACGAGCUAAGUACAAGCAUGAGGAAGCUGAACAUGGCCGUGUUGGUCUCAACACUGGCCGUGUUCUUAGCACGGUCACAAACACAGGCCGUGUUACCA